AUUUUGAUGGCGACCGGCGGACGGGUGCGUUACACGUAUGUAACCUACCUUUUUCUAGAAAAUAGCCUGAGGAAACUCGGAUUAAUAUUCUAUAAUACAGUAUUUUCGCAUGAAAAUAUUAUUAAAGCAGAAAUGUGGGAAAAGAUGGGCAUGCGCCCGAUUAGUUAGUUGGUGGGGUAAAGGCCUACCAAGACGAUGAUCGGUAGGGGGCCUGAGAGGGUGAUCCCCCACACUGGUACUGAGAUACGGACCAGACUCCUACGGGAGGCAGCAGUGAGGAAUAUUGGUCAAUGGAGGAAACUCUGAACCAGCCACGCCGCGUGCAGGAAGAAUGCCUUAUGGGUUGUAAACUGCUUUUGUUUAGGAAUAAAAAUUUCUACGUGAUAGAAAUUGUGAAGGUACUAAACGAAUAAGUGUCGGCAAACUCCGUGCCAGCAGCCGCGGUAAUACGGAGGACACAAGCGUUAUCCGGAUUUAUUGGGUUUAAAGAGUGCGUAGGCGGUUUAUUAAGUCAGUAGUGAAAUGUUACAGCUUAACUGUUAAAAUGGCUAAUGAUACUGAUAGACUUGAGUGAGAUUGGAGUAAUUGGAAUGUGUGGUGUAGCGGUGAAAUGCAUAGAGAUCACACAGAACACCGAUCGCGAAAGCAGGUUACUAAAUCUAUACUGACGCUGAGGCACGAAAGCGUGGGGAGCAAACAGGAUUAGAUACCCUGGUAGUCCACGCCGUAAACGAUGAUCACUAGUCGUUGGAUUUUAUUAUUCAGUGGCUAAGCGAAAGUGAUAAGUGAUCCACCUGGGGAGUACGAUCGCAAGGUUGAAACUCAAAGGAAUUGACGGGGGCCCGCACAAGCGGUGGAGCAUGUGGUUUAAUUCGAUGAUACGCGAGGAACCUUACCAAGGUUUAAAUGUACUACGAAUAAGCUAGAAAUAGUUUAGUCUUCGGACGGAGUACAAGAUGCUGCAUGGUUGUCGUCAGCUCGUGCCGUGAGGUGUUGGGUUAAGUCCCUCAACGAGCGCAACCCUCAUUGUUAGUUGCCAACGAAUAAUGUCGGGGACUCUAGCAAGACUGCCGACGUAAGUCGAGAGGAAGGUGGGGACGACGUCAAAUCAUCACGGCUCUUAUACCUUGGGCUACACACGUGCUACAAUGGUCGGUACAAAGGGUUGCUA
This 1171-nucleotide ribosomal RNA is filed under the name Blattabacterium cuenoti. RNAcentral's name for it is "bacterial SSU rRNA". It matches the Rfam family "Bacterial small subunit ribosomal RNA", at positions 82 to 1252 of the family's 1533-position model. Lineage: Bacteria; Pseudomonadati; Bacteroidota; Flavobacteriia; Flavobacteriales; Blattabacteriaceae. The record is from RNAcentral.